Molecule: ribosomal RNA, 525 nt
Filed under: uncultured bacterium
Lineage: Bacteria
Description: bacterial SSU rRNA
Rfam family: Bacterial small subunit ribosomal RNA
Source: RNAcentral
UGGGGAAUUUUGCACAAUGGGGGAAACCCUGAUGCAGCAACGCCGCGUGGAGGAUGAAGUCCCUUGGGACGCAAACUCCUUUCGACCGGGACGAUAAUGACGGUACCGGUGGAAGAAGCCCCGGCUAACUCCGUGCCAGCAGCCGCGGUAAUACGGGGGGGGCAAGCGUUGUUCGGAAUUAUUGGGCGUAAAGGGUGCGUAGGCGGUUUGGUAAGUCUCUUGUGAAAUCUAUGGGCUCAACUCAUAGUCUGCAAGGGAAACUGCCGGGCUUGAGUGUGGGAGAGGUGAGUGGAAUUUCCGGUGUAGCGGUGAAAUGCGUAGAUAUCGGAAGGAACACCUGUGGCGAAAGCGGCUCACUGGACCACAACUGACGCUGAUGCACGAAAGCUAGGGGAGCAAACAGGAUUAGAUACCCUGGUAGUCCUAGCCCUAAACGAUGACCGCUUGGUGUGACGGGUACCCAAUCCCGCCGUGCCGUAGCUAACGCGUUAAGCAGUCCGCCUGGGGAGUACGGUCGCAAGGCUG